CUUAACACAUGCAAGUCGAGGGGCGGCAUGGUCUUAGCUUGCUAAGGCCGAUGGCGACCGGCGCACGGGUGAGUAACACGUAUCCAACCUGCCGUCUACUCUUGGACAGCCUUCUGAAAGGAAGAUUAAUACAAGAUGGCAUCAUGAGUCCGCAUGUUCACAUGAUUAAAGGUAUUCCGGUAGACGAUGGGGAUGCGUUCCAUUAGAUAGUAGGCGGGGUAACGGCCCACCUAGUCUUCGAUGGAUAGGGGUUCUGAGAGGAAGGUCCCCCACAUUGGAACUGAGACACGGUCCAAACUCCUACGGGAGGCAGCAGUGAGGAAUAUUGGUCAAUGGGCGAGAGCCUGAACCAGCCAAGUAGCGUGAAGGAUGACUGCCCUAUGGGUUGUAAACUUCUUUUAUAAAGGAAUAAAGUCGGGUAUGGAUACCCGUUUGCAUGUACUUUAUGAAUAAGGAUCGGCUAACUCCGUGCCAGCAGCCGCGGUAAUACGGAGGAUCCGAGCGUUAUCCGGAUUUAUUGGGUUUAAAGGGAGCGUAGAUGGAUGUUUAAGUCAGUUGUGAAAGUUUGCGGCUCAACCGUAAAAUUGCAGUUGAUACUGGAUAUCUUGAGUGCAGUUGAGGCAGGCGGAAUUCGUGGUGUAGCGGUGAAAUGCUUAGAUAUCACGAAGAACUCCGAUUGCGAAGGCAGCCUGCUAAGCUGCAACUGACAUUGAGGCUCGAAAGUGUGGGUAUCAAACAGGAUUAGAUACCCUGGUAGUCCACACGGUAAACGAUGAAUACUCGCUGUUUGCGAUAUACAGCAAGCGGCCAAGCGAAAGCGUUAAGUAUUCCACCUGGGGAGUACGCCGGCAACGGUGAAACUCAAAGGAAUUGACGGGGGCCCGCACAAGCGGAGGAACAUGUGGUUUAAUUCGAUGAUACGCGAGGAACCUUACCCGGGCUUAAAUUGCAGAUGAAUUACGGUGAAAGCCGUAAGCCGCAAGGCAUCUGUGAAGGUGCUGCAUGGUUGUCGUCAGCUCGUGCCGUGAGGUGUCGGCUUAAGUGCCAUAACGAGCGCAACCCUUGUUGUCAGUUACUAACAGGUUCCGCUGAGGACCCUGACAAGACUGCCAUCGUAAGAUGUGAGGAAGGUGGGGAUGACGUCAAAUCAGCACGGCCCUUACGUCCGGGGCUACACACGUGUUACAAUGGGGGGUACAGAGGGCCGCUACCACGCGAGUGGAUGCCAAUCCCCAAAACCUCUCUCAGUUCGGACUGGAGUCUGCAACCCGACUCCACGAAGCUGGAUUCGCUAGUAAUCACGCAUCAGCCACGGCGCGGUGAAUACGUUCCCGGGCCUUGUACACACCGCCCGUCAAGCCAUGGGAGCCGGGGGUACCUGAAGUGCGUAACCGCGAGGAGCGCCCUAGGGUAAAACUGGUGACUGGGGCUAAGUCGU
This 1438-nucleotide ribosomal RNA is filed under the name uncultured organism. Its description in RNAcentral is "SSU rRNA". It matches the Rfam family "Bacterial small subunit ribosomal RNA". The record is from RNAcentral.